AGAUGAAAUGAAGUUGCAGGAUACUGAAAAUAUAUCACAACAGCAAGAGGACAAGCCUGAGGAUGAACAAGAGAAUUUAUUGACAGAUGAAGGAAAAGAAGAAGGUGAAAUUUGUGAGCAGUUGGAUCAGAGAUCUAAAGACGAGCAUGAUGCACAAAACCAUCCACCAAAUCUGGAGUCAGGUGAUGACUUGUCAAAUAAAGCCAGCAGGGAGAAAACACCUCUACAGCAUGAAGAUAAUACUGCAGCAAUUGAGCAACGGAAGACUAAGGUGAGAAAUGACUAUAUCUGCUCGAUAGGCUCAAUACUAAGAGGUUGGUUAUUAAUCUUUAAAAUGUAGUCAACUGAAUAUUGUAAGAGAAGCAAAAUAGAAAAAUGAAAGAAAAGGCAUUUGUAGCUCCUAUUGCAUACUUUUAAACAAAACAUUUAAGUUGAAAUUCCGUACAUUUGGUCACACUAAAGAAAACUAUGAGCUACACAGAUCUCUGUUUACUUUGUCAACUUAUAUUCAGUCAAUGUAUUUAAAGACUCUUUACAAGCAUAGAGGACAAUACCUUUUGUUUGCCUUGUAGAUAUGAACAACACACUUGUUUGUCCAGGUAUAUGGCUAGCAGAAUUGUUUCAUGACCAUUGUUGUCGCUAAUGGUUUUUGGCUUGAAAACUGAUAUGCUUUAA
This 675-nucleotide long non-coding RNA is filed under the name Coffea arabica (coffee). RNAcentral describes it as "long non-coding RNA (CARA_LNC001687)". Lineage: Eukaryota; Viridiplantae; Streptophyta; Magnoliopsida; Gentianales; Rubiaceae. The record is from RNAcentral.